CAGUGGCUCUGCGGGGACAGAGAGGGACACUAGGACAUGGUGGCCUGCUGACCCCACAGAUUUUUGUAUUGCAGAUCCUUCCAGCAUUUCCCAUGUCACAACAUGGUGCCUCUCAGCACAUCAGGUAGACACGCAAGAGCAGGAGCCCGAAGACCCUUCAGGGAGCCAGCACAGGUGGGGAAAUGGAGGAAGAAGAAGGGCCUUACCUCUGUGGACUAGUAGGAAGAGCCAAGGUUAUCACUCAAAGACUUGUGGUUUUGGAAUGUUUUCCACCACAUCAUCUACCUUCAGGUGGUCUUUAUGGAGUUCAUCUGCAGCUCUCUUGAGAUUUCCACAGAUUUACGAGGCUGAGAAAGUCUGCAAAGGAAAAGGAUCAGCUGCAGGAUUCUGAUUUCACCUUAAUUAAAAAGAGGGU
This is a long non-coding RNA of Neopsephotus bourkii (Bourke's parrot), 415 nucleotides long. RefSeq lists it as uncharacterized. NCBI's taxonomy places the organism in Eukaryota, Metazoa, Chordata, Aves, Psittaciformes, Psittacidae. The record is from RefSeq and is a predicted model, not a curated record. The transcript has 3 exons.